RNAcentral lists this ribosomal RNA (889 nucleotides) under uncultured bacterium. RNAcentral's name for it is "bacterial SSU rRNA". It matches the Rfam family "Bacterial small subunit ribosomal RNA", at positions 8 to 942 of the family's 1533-position model. The record is from RNAcentral.
AGAGUUUGAUCAUGGCUCAGAACGAACGCUGGCGGCAGGCCUAAUACAUGCAAGUCGCACGGGAAGCCCCCUUCGGGGGGUGGAGAGUGGCGCACGGGUGAGUAACGCGUGGGAACCUAUCCCGGGGUGGGGGAUAACCACUGGAAACGGUGGCUAAUACCGCACGAUCCCUGAGGGGCAAAGCAGCGAUGCGCCCUGGGAGGGGCCCGCGUCCGAUUAGCUAGUUGGCGGGGUAAGAGCCCACCAAGGCGGUGAUCGGUAGCUGGUCUGAGAGGAUGAUCAGCCACACUGGGACUGAGACACGGCCCAGACUCCUACGGGAGGCAGCAGUAGGGAAUAUUGGACAAUGGGCGCAAGCCUGAUCCAGCCAUGCCGCGUGAGUGAUGAAGGCCUUAGGGUUGUAAAGCUCUUUCGCACGCGAGGAUGAUGACGGUAGCGUGAGAAGAAGCCCCGGCUAACUUCGUGCCAGCAGCCGCGGUAAUACGAAGGGGGCUAGCGUUGUUCGGAAUUACUGGGCGUAAAGGGCGCGUAGGCGGUCGAUCGCGUUGGGUGUGAAAGCCCCGGGCUCAACCUGGGAUGUGCGCCCGAAACGGGUCGGCUGGAGAUCGGAAGAGGAGAGUGGAAUUCCCAGUGUAGAGGUGAAAUUCGUAGAUAUUGGGAAGAACACCGGUGGCGAAGCGGCUCUCUGGUCCGAUUCUGACGCUGAGCGCGAAAGCGUGGGGAGCAAACUGGAUUAGAUACCCUGGUAGUCCACGCUGUAAACGAUGCGUGCUAGACGUUGGGAGCCUAACCUCUCGUGUCGCAGUCACACGUUAAGCACGCCGCCUGGGAGUACGCCGCAGGUAAACUCAUAGGAAUUGACGGGGCCCGCACAAGCCGUGGAGCAUGU